RNAcentral lists this long non-coding RNA (427 nucleotides) under Salvia miltiorrhiza (redroot sage). RNAcentral's name for it is "long non-coding RNA (SMIL_LNC014325)". The record is from RNAcentral. Lineage: Eukaryota; Viridiplantae; Streptophyta; Magnoliopsida; Lamiales; Lamiaceae.
CGUGCCUUCCGGUUAUCCGUUGCUAUUAUGUCGCAACCCAACGAUCGAUCGAUGCUGGACUUCGGCGGAUUCUGAAUAUUGGGCUCCUUUGAAUUUACGGGCUUGUUGUUGUUUGUUGGUUGAUUUGGUUGGACAGCCACUGCUUCUGGGAGGUGGCUUUGUUUUUUUUUUUUGCUUGGUGUUUUUUUGUUGUUUAUUCCUUCUUUUGCACAAUUAUUGUCAUGGGGUGAUGGUCGGGCCGGAGCUCCUUCCUCACUAUUUUCUAUUACUGUGCUCCUUUCAGCGGGUGAUGAUUUGUCCAAAGGUCGGGGUUGUUGUCUCUUUUUCCUUUCCCCCUAAGACGAUACUCUUUUUUUCCUUUAAAGUUUUUCCUACUAGGUUUUUUUAAGGAGGUUUUAUUGAGACUCGGCCUUGAAACCUUUCAAGG